UUCCAUCGCGACCCCAGGUCA
Molecule: ribosomal RNA, 21 nt
Filed under: Liquidambar styraciflua (sweet gum)
Lineage: Eukaryota; Viridiplantae; Streptophyta; Magnoliopsida; Saxifragales; Altingiaceae
Description: partial 28S ribosomal RNA
Source: RNAcentral